This 435-nucleotide ribosomal RNA is filed under the name uncultured bacterium. RNAcentral describes it as "partial 16S ribosomal RNA". It matches the Rfam family "Bacterial small subunit ribosomal RNA", at positions 29 to 507 of the family's 1533-position model. The record is from RNAcentral.
AGCGAACGCUGGCGGCAGGCUUAACACAUGCAAGUCGAACGGGCAUCUUCGGAUGUCAGUGGCAGACGGGUGAGUAACACGUGGGAACGCACCCUUCGGUUCGGAAUAACUCAGGGAAACUUGAGCUAAUACCGGAUACGCCCUUUUGGGGAAAGGUUUACUGCCGAAGGAUCGGCCCGCGUCUGAUUAGCUUGUUGGUGGGGUAACGGCCUACCAAGGCGACGAUCAGUAGCUGGUCUGAGGGGAUGAUCAGCCACACUGGGACUGAGACACGGCCCAGACUCCUACGGGAGGCAGCAGUGGGGAAUAUUGGACAAUGGGCGCAAGCCUGAUCCAGCCAUGCCGCGUGAGUGAUGAAGGCCUUAGGGUUGUAAAGCUCUUUUGUCCGGGACGAUAAUGACGGUACCGGAAGAAUAAGCCCCGGCUAACUUCGUG